AUUGAACGCUGGCGGUAUGCUUAAGACAUGCAAGUCGAACGGUAACAGACCUUCGGGUGCUGACGAGUGGCGGACGGGUGAGUAACACGUGGGAAUCUACCUUGUAGUGGGGGAUAAGCCAGGGAAACUUGGACUAAUACCGCAUACGCCCUAAGGGGGAAAGGAGCAAUUCGCUAUAAGAUGAGCCCGCGUCUGAUUAGCUAGUUGGUGAGGUAAAGGCUCACCAAGGCGACGAUCAGUAGCUGGUCUGAGAGGAUGACCAGCCACAUUGGGACUGAGACACGGCCCAGACUCCUACGGGAGGCAGCAGUCGGGAAUAUUGGACAAUGGGGGCAACCCUGAUCCAGCAAUACCGCGUGUGUGAAGAAGGCCUGCGGGUUGUAAAGCACUUUUAGUAGGGAAGAUAAUGACGUUACCUACAGAAAAAGCACCGGCUAACUCCGUGCCAGCAGCCGCGGU
Molecule: ribosomal RNA, 459 nt
Filed under: uncultured bacterium
Lineage: Bacteria
Description: bacterial SSU rRNA
Rfam family: Bacterial small subunit ribosomal RNA
Source: RNAcentral